GCGAGAGUGGCGGAACGGCAGACGCAUCAGACUUAGGAUCUGACGGGGCAACCCCCGUGAGGGUUCAAAUCCCUCCUCUCGCACCA
This 86-nucleotide transfer RNA is filed under the name Bacillota bacterium. Its description in RNAcentral is "Firmicutes bacterium (anaerobic digester metagenome) tRNA-Leu". It matches the Rfam family "tRNA". Rfam says of the family: Transfer RNA (tRNA) molecules are approximately 80 nucleotides in length. The record is from RNAcentral. Lineage: Bacteria; Bacillati; Bacillota.